Molecule: non-coding RNA, 11614 nt
Organism: Rattus norvegicus (Norway rat)
Lineage: Eukaryota; Metazoa; Chordata; Mammalia; Rodentia; Muridae
Source: RefSeq, a predicted model, not a curated record
CUCGCUCUCUGGAGGAGUCGGGCAUGUGGGUGUGGGGGGACACACACGAGGGCACCGUAUGUGUGUGUGUGUGUGUUAGUGUGUGCUUGGAGUGUUCAUAUCAGCUCCACAUGGAGGUGUCAGAGAGGAUUUGCUAGAUGUGAGCCCUUAAUUCAUCCAUAAGGGGAACUGGGGAUGUCUCCAGCCCUGUUAUCCUUUCUGAUGAUCAUCUCUCAGAGCAGGUCUUCUCUUGGGUUCUAAAUUUUAAGGGGUGCAAGUUGUUUUUAGAAGAUAGGAAAGGGGUUUGCCUCUUUUGUAAUAAAUCCUCUGAUAAGGUGAGACUCCAAGAUUUUAUUUCUAGGUUAUACCCAUCCUUGUCUACAUUUGGAGUGUGUGUGUGUGUGUGUGUGUGUGUGUGUGUGUGUGUGUGUGUGUAUGUUCCCAUUAUGGAUGAAUUAAGGACUCACAUCUAGCAAAUCCUCUCUGACACCUCCAUGUGGAGCUGAUAUGAACACUCCAAGCACACACUAACACACACACACACACACACACGCACGUGCACAUUCCUGUACACAUUAGUAUUUUAAAAAGACUUUUUUGAACAGUUAUAAGUUACUCCCCUUAAAACAAAGCCCAAAAGCACAACAACAACAAUAACAACAACAGCAACAACCGUGAGUGUGAUAAUGUGAGUUAUUGUGAGUGUGAGAAUGUGAGUUAUUUCUUAUUACUUGUAUUUCCCUAGGACUUUAAACACAGUGAGUACAGGUCUAGUGUUUCCCCUGUGAGUCUUCAUGAGCUUCUGCUCAUUAAGUGCUUGACAGACGAGUGGAAUCUCUAGAGGAAUGGCGUCUGGAAGCUCUCUCUGGGGUGUGUAACCCUCUCUGUCGGGGAAGGCAUGAGGUCAGAAAUGAAGAUACAGCAUCUUGGGAGUCCAAUGGGAGUUUAUUUAUGGAAAGUAGUACCUUAUUCUUUAGAAAACUUCACGUAUAAUAUAGGUAGGAAUAUUGACUCAAUGAAACCUAUAUUUAGCUUAGCAUAGUGCCUGGCACUAGGCAUUUAAUAAAUAUUUAUUGAAUGAAUGAUGCGUGAAUGUCUCUGAUGGUUUGCUUCUUUUUCUUGCUUCUCUGCCAAGAGAGAAAUUAAUAAAGUCAAGUGGAUUCAUGGCUAGUUAGCUAAUGCUUGGUUAUGUUUCCUGACUCAGCAUUUCUUGGGUGACUGGCUGGGAAUUAACAUGAUGACUUAGGGAUGUUUACUAAAUUGAAAGUGACCUUCUUCAAGCAGAAAUUUCAAACACUUAAUGUAAUGACCUAAAUGAUAGUUUUCCUAAUUGAAGCAAGAUUUAAUUGUAGGGAAGCCAACCUUUCUUUAUAAUUAAAAAAAAAUCGGUUUAAAAACCAUAAACAAGUCCCUCCCUCAAUAUUAGAACAUUGCAUAUGAGAUAAAUUUAGAUCAUGUAAUAGAAUGGGAUUAAUCUUCACAGUAGCCAUAUCCUCUGGGAGUGCAGCCCCUGCUCAGGUCGAGCAUCCUAGGACACUUUAUGAGAUGUUCCCAAGAGUGAUAGUCACUGACUGACCUCUAAAGCUCCAGAAUGCUCCUGCCCGUGACUCUACUCUUUCUCUGUUUGACGAACGUUUUAUUUACAGUGUUUAUGUGUGUGUUUUAUUUACAGUGUUUAUGUGUGUGUAUUUGUGGCAUGUGCGUGUUUGUGGGGCAUAAGUGUACAUGGAAGUCAAAGGGUAACUUGUAGCAGCUCUCUUCCACCAUGUGGGUUCCGGGAACUGAACUCAGGUCAUCAGGCAUGGUAUCAAGUAAGCCACACCACCAGCUCUUCCACCUUACUUUUUACACCAUUCUCUCUCCUAGAGUCUUCUUUUCCUCAGAGGACCAGGACUCCAGGUUGCCUCAUUUCACUUUCCAGCACUUUUGACUUCAGGACAGUGGCAUCAGACCUGGCCUUAUCUGUUUGGCCAUACUAUGAGGAGCACUCUCCCUUUCAAAAGCCAAAGUAAAUAAGCCAGGCUAAAGGUUACUGAGUGGCAGUAACCAGCCACGUCUAACUCCCUGGAAUGUUCAACCCCAGUCAUCCCUUUUGUGUGAAGUAGCUAUACAGUUUCUAAUCCUGAAGCCUCAACACUCAUGGGUGCAUCGAAACUUGGAGAGGUUAGACCCGCUUUCUAAAAGUGUGGUCAUUGUGAUAGUUGAAUAAAUAUUGUGAGAGGGCAGGGGAGAAUCAUCUGGCUCAGUCAGUAAAGUGUUUGUCACGUGGAUCUGAGUCUUCAGAACCCAUGUUAAAGAGCUUGUAAUCACAGCACUGGGAAGGAAGCAGAAGUGGAUCUCUGGGGCUUGCUGGCUGGCCAGCCUGGCAUACUUAAUCAGAAACUCCCAGGCCACUGAGAGAGACUCUGGAUCAAAGAACAAGGUAGGCUGCACCUGAUGAAGGACACCGAAACUGACCUUACACACACACACAUACACACACACACACACACACACACACACACACACACACACACACACACACACACAAAUACAGUUGGGCUGCCCUCUUUCACCAGCCCACCUCUGCCCAUUAGGUAGCCAUGGUCCAUUCUUCCAGGAGGCCAGUGAGGGGUCAGGUCAGCUCCCUAGGCCCUCCUAUCAGUACGGUCAUAGCAGCUGAGUGGCCAUAGGCAGGAUCCUGCUUUUAACUAUAUCUGAUGGAACAUUCCCACUGUAACGGUCCCUUCUUGGCUCCAGAAUACCUCCAGAUGGAUCUCUGGUGGACUACAAGACAGUUUCUAACAUGAUGACAGGGAAAGUGAUACAUGGCAAAUUACCAUAUCAGAGACGCAGACGUUCUCCCAGAGUGAUCGGAUGUGAAUUCCCUAUGUCCCAACUUUUGUCCUAGAAAUAAAGAGGGCAGGCUGCGGAGGGCCCUCACAGCUUUAAAACUGCAACAAGAAGCAGUUGUCAACGUGGAGGACAGAUGCUUAACACUUAAGGCCAAGGAAGAAGGCAAUGAGAAAUGGAUAUGCCAGUUUAUUAAAAGCGUGACUGGGGUCAACCGAGGCUUCAGUGGAGUUAGCUAUCAGUGCUACAGGGAGACGGAAAAAUAGCCUUUUGUGAAGUCUGGAGAGAGGAAGGCAGUCAUUUCUCAGGCAGUUUCCUCGGCAGCCUCUGAUAGCUUCCCUGUGCCUGCUGAUAUACAGACCUUCUUCUCACAUCUACACCAUUUAUUGCUUGUCGAAAAGCAAGUUACUCAAUGCUGUUCAGCUUGCAUUUUCAAGAGACGUUCAUAAAUAUGAUGUCACGAGGUCACGUUAAGGAAAAAAAAUAAGACCAUGAACACAAAAGAAGCAUUGCCUGGAUCCUGGAGACGCUGGUUCUUACAGGUAGUGUUUCCACGUCACCAUUCACGUUUCCGAAGCAACGAAACACAGUAGACUUGUUAUGGUUCUACUCCACAGAUUCAACAGACUGCAGUGCAAAACACAUGAACUAGCGAAAUGUGUUUUCUCUGCCAAGAAAAAACCCGGCAUCUACAGCAAAUGCACACAGGGUUUUUCUUACCAUGAUUGCCCAGUGACUACAGCACAGCUAUUUACAUAGGACUCCUAUUGUUUAGGUCUUCCUAAGUAGUUCAGAGGUGUGUGCACACCCAGUAUGGGAAAGCCAUGCCAGAUCCUACACAGGGCUUGAGCGGUUGCAGGGUUUUGGAAUGUGCUGGGGAGUUUUCUAUGAACAAAUGGUUGGUUCUCGAAGUCUUGUGUCAAUUCACUGAAGAAAACAACCUCAACCAAGGCUACUUCCUUGAUCCUAACAAGCCCGAGAUUGUUUGGGCUGACAGGAAGGGUUUACGGCACCGCAGAUCAGUUAAAAUGUAGUCUCAUUAUAGUCGGUACAGUUCAAGGAGACGCAUAUUUAGGGGUGAGGAGAGAAUGCAGAGCCUGAGUCGGGGUUUGGGUGGUAUCAGGGAAGGGGGCCAGAAGCCUUUCCAGAGGAGACAGCAUCUGAUGAGAGGAAGGGUUUGUUCUUCUCUGAAGUCCUAAGAGAUCACAGAAAGGGUGGGAUUUAGGGAUUAUUUAAAUGAUAGGAGACACAUGGCUUGGCAUGGGGAGUGGGAGGGUUUUCCAGGCAUGCUGGGCUCUUUGGAGACUGUUCCAGAGCUAGACCAAGGGAGGCCUGGAGGGGUGAGUUGGACUGCUCCCUCUUGGUGAGGCUGUCAUUUUAAUUCUCUCUUAGAUAAUAAGUGACAUGCUGGAGGAAGGUGCAAAGGGACUUUCUGGCAGUUGGAGCCAACUCUUAGUCACGGAGGGAGAACAGCUAACCUUGUAAUAAACCUUAGGCAUUUAGCCUCCAAAGACAAAUUACUUAUUAGCUUGGCACUCCCCCUUGUUUAUUCCACUGGAACAAGCAAGCCCGGGAGGAUAGCUUUGUGGGUAAAGAGCACUUUCAGUGCAAGCAUGAGGACCCGGGUUCAGAUCUUCACGGUCCUGCAGUAACCCCUACACUGGAGGGUAAAAGGGACAUGAGGAUCGUCGGGGCUUGCUGGUCACCAGGUUAGCAUAAAAACUACAAGCUCCAUGUUCAGAGAGAGACCUUGCCUCAAGGGAAUAAUGGAGUGUCAGAGAGAUGAGGAAGGAGGGAGGGGUGGGGGGGAGGGGAGAUACCCGACGCCCUUCUCUGGCCAUGCACAUACAUGUGCAUACACAUGUGCCAUACACACACAUGCACACCCUCACACAGGAAACAUAUUUAAUAAGGACUGCAGAGGUCUAGGGCUUGCUGGAAGCCUCAGGCAGAAAGUGCAUACAGCCUCUAAGAAAUGGAAGCAGAGUGGGCAGUUGCGGAUGAGAGAUGAACUAAGAAGACUUUCUUUGAAGUCAGGAACGACUUCCGCUUCACCUUUGAGGGAAGGAAGCAGGGAGAUCAGCACAGAGAUUACACAGUGAGUGCAGACUCCAUCUGAUGGGGGAAAUGGGCAGCCCGCAGGCUGGAGGGACAGACUGCGUUAGAAGUUAACACAGGGGUCUUAGAGAAUAAGCAGUACUGGCGGAAUCAUUGUAAUCCUCCGCACUUUCAACCUAAGUGCACAUUUCCUGUUCAGGACACGGAUUCAAUUGGGGCCUCUUGAAAAUUGGUAACCUAGGCCGAUUCUUUUUAUUGAGAAAAAAUGAGGAUGAUUUGUCUUGGCAUUGGAACCCGAUUUCCGUUUUGCUCAUCACAGGGUUUUGUCCUGGCCAGGCAACUGUGCUAAAGAGACAAUGCCCACAUGCUCAGCUCUUUGUUUAGGAGGGUCUGUGAAAGCACAGCUUCCACCAUUCUCCCUCCCUGCGCCCCGAAUCCUUUGGAGACUCCAACCUGGCCACCUUCGCUGUCCUCACAGACCGGCAAACUCUCCCCUCUCUCCACCCUUCUCCCAACCCAAACCCUUUCUCUACAUAGCAUUGUUUUUCUAAUUUAUUUGGCACUUAGGUGGUGUGAUACGGAGAUAGGUCAUAUUUUAUACACAUAUGCUGUAUUUAAGUCUCCACCAAAAUAACAUAUUCUCUUAUAGCCCAAGACUUGGUUUUGUAUUUUCUUAUGACCCAACGCUAAGGUUCUGAGGACAAAUAUGGACCGAAAUCAGGGGCCUGAGGAUUCUCGAAAAUAUUGUUCAAAGAUUUUCUUUUAAAAGAGGAAUCCAGGUCCUCCAUCUCCAGGUAAAUCCUGCUUCUUCCUCUCUUUGUGAUGCUAACAAGCUAGGAACAAAGCCGCUGCUCAUAAAGGCUCAGCUCCUUGACAGCGCUCUCUGGGGAACAGAGUGCUUCUGAGUGAGGGUGGGAGCGUCUGCUGUGCCCCUCCACUGGUACCAGCCAUGGCACCAAUGGUUCCUGUGCUUGCAUAGACGGUGGCGGAGGAUGACCCUGUCUCCUCCUCAGCCUAAGUGUGGGAGAGGGUAGGGACCCUGGUGACUACUAGUGGAGUGGUUUACAGUAAAUGAGAGGGAAGGAAAGGCUGGAGCCUGGAAGGAGGAGGAGGGGGAGGGCAUCAAGAGGAGAGUGGGCCAAGCACUCAGAGAAGACUUCCUGGUGGAGGUGGUCUUGUCCCGAAUAACAGUUUAGACCAGAAGGAGGGAAGGAUUCUGAUGACCACCCAGCUGGAGUCAGGAAAGUAUGGGGAGGAAUACAGAACGAAACUUUUCUUAGAAAACGUUAUUUGACGUGGCAGAGGCAUUGGGAAAUCAAGGAGAUUUAAUUACAACUCCCUUAUGAGCGGGAUUCGAAAAGGAGUGGGAGGCUCAUGGAAACCUUCAUUGCUGAGAAAAGUUAAGAGGAGGAAUAUGACAGAGGUAAUGGGCCUGUAUGUGUGUCAUGUCUGAUUUGUCAUUUUUCUAGACAGGCAUUCUGCCUCCUGCUUCCUUCUAGGUUAAAGGAGGGGGAAGAUCCUUCGGCUGUGAAGGUGAACAUACCGUUCGGGAUGCAGAAAUGGGACCUGGAAAAUACUUCUAUUCCUUUUAGGGAAGAAAAGGUCCAUCCUGAGUCACUUUGUUGCUAAGAAUAAUAAUAACCAUUUGUUCAGCAAUAACAAUGUGUGAGGUGCCCAAAAGAGCCCUACGUCUGGCUAAAUAAUUCCUUCCUUCCUUUAGAAAAUAGAAAACAGCUUGCCUAGUUUCUCUUCCAAUUUAUUCCUCUGGCUUUCCAGUCCUUGGGAAAUUUAGGAAGAUGCUUACUUCAUAAGCCUUUGUAGACCAGCCCUUCUGUAUUCAGAGACGAUGUCAUAGCGUGCAUUAAGCCGGGUCUUUAAGAUUAAUGCAGUGUGCAGGAAAACGUAAUAAAUGAACCUGCAUUAACAGCUUUUAGCUUGUCAAAGUGGCUGCAUGCUGAAGGCAUCUGGGAAAAAAUUGCAAAUCACAACACAGAGCAUUGCUAACAGAUGCUAACACGGAGAAGUGGUGGAUGGAGGCCGGAACAGGACCCAGCCUCCUGUGCUGUCUGCACGGGGAAGGCGACAGGAUUUAUGGACGAUGGCUCAUGACUGUUUGUGUGAAGAGGUGCUUGAAUGAACAAGCUGUUAGUACAGACAAAAGAUAAUGGGAACAGAAAAGGCUUGGUGUCCAGGAAGAAUGAUAGAUUGUAUCCAAGGUCCUGCCCAAAUUAAACUUUGAUUCUCUAACUCUCUGAAACAUCUCACAGGGUAUAAUGUAUCACAGGCUAAAGGUUAAUACAUAAUCAAAAUUAUGUAGCUGUACCUCCCUUCCCGGAUGUUAAUAGUAUAGCACUGUUCAGUUUGUGAGCCUGCACCUUCAUAGUCUACCAGUUAUCUGCUGUAAAAUAAUGCUACACCACCACAGGAUCUCAGUGGCACACAGCAAUGCAUGCUUAUUGCCCCUGUGUCCAGAGGUCUGCUUAGGGAGUGUUGCUGAUCUUGGUGAGGGGCUGAUCCCAUAUCUGGGUGUGGGCUGGCCUUCAGUUAAUCUAGGGUAGCAUUGACUGGGAUGGCCUCGGUGACACAGCUCAUCCACAUGGCCUUUUAUCUUCCACCAAGUGAAGACAGACACGGCCUCAUGGUGAUGGUGAGUCAGGAGAGAUCAACUAAAAACAUGUGGGACUCCCAUUCUAGCAAAAACAAGCCCCACAGCUAAAGUCAGCAUCUCGGUGUGGGGAAAUGCACCCCAUGCCUUUUGCUAAAGGAAUUGCAGCUGGGGAUGGAGAAGAGAGGAAGAAUAAAUAAUUGGCAUGAUCACAGGAAUCUACCACACUCACUGCCUCAUUUAAUCCUCAUAAUAGAAUCCUAAAACAGACAUCAGUGCAUCGGAAGCCUUCUUAAAGCUCCAUGGUGUGCCAGUAGCCUUUCAGAAGGUCAGGGAGAAGACUGGCCGCUGACCUUCCUGUCACAAACGCAAGGGGCUUUCCAUUGUGCCACGUGGCUCUUAGUUAACAACAUGAGUCUCAAGAAGCUUGCCUGGAGGUUCUGAAAACAGUGGAGAGAUGCACUCAAUGUCCCACGAACUAGGAAACACGGAAGCCUUUAUGUACUUGCUCUGACCCUAUGCAUAAAACUCCCUCAGUCCUAGAAGCUCUAACACCGUCACAUCUUACUUACCAGUCUGCGUGCGCUGGUGUAACUUUACCUGGGUAUUUAGUUGACAGUUGCUCUGACUGGGCGCCCUAACCUUGGUGAUAUAAAGCAAGUAAGGAGUCUUGUUCAUAUUAACCCAGAUUCAGGCAUGUGGCAAGGCUGAGUCAGGAAAAGAUAAUGUCGCUGUGUGAAGAAUGCCACCACUUAGUGGGACCUACCAGGAAGUUUUGCAGACAGACCAGGUUGUGGUAGGCAGUAGACGGUGUAGAACUAGGAAGAGGGAGAAGAACCUAGAGCAUGAAAUCAUCCAAGGAAACUGUAGCCCUAACUUCUCCAUGCUGUGUGCAAUGAUCCCCAAACAUCCUGCCAGCUCAGGACUUUAUACUCAGCGAAAACAUCUUCUAAAGAUGGGGGAGGGGCUGGGGAGAUGACUCUGGGCACGAGCACUUCUGUGUAGACACAGGACCUGAGUUUGAAUCUGCGUCUGCCUGGUAUGCCUGCAACCCCAGUAUUAGGAGCUGGGUCCCAGGAGUCUGCUGGUCAACCAGCCUAACGAAAACUGAAUUUAUUGUCAGCAGACUCUCAGGGAAAGGAUUCUUAAAGGACAUUCUUCAGGCACACAAAAAAUAUCAGGCAGAACCUCUAAUCUGCAAAAGAAGUGAAGGGCACUGAAAAUAGAGUCAAAGGAGAUAAAACUAAAUACAUCAUUUCUCUCCUCUCUUCUCUUGAGAGGCCAUUUAUAACACGCACGUGCGCGCUAUAUUAAUAUUGCCCUACAGUUCCUAACUGCUCCGCUGUGCUUUGCUCACUUUCUGUGUCACCUACUCCUUUUGAACUGCCAUCUGAUAGGCUCUGUUGAGCUAUCCUCAAAACCACUCCUCUCUCUGUCCGCGUCGAGUCCGUCACUGUGUGCCUGUUGAGAGCUUUGUUCCUUCCUGUGCUUGACUUGUUCUAUCCAGCUGAUUCUGUCUGGAGCUUCUGUUUGUCUUUGGAAAACACUAUGACCUCAUCAUACAGGUUACAGGCCUUUUCGAUGAAGCGAUUUGAUGUAGUAAUCACAGUGUCCUAAGGACUCCACUGAUGCCCUCAUACCCGUGUAGACAAAAAUCCCAGUUCUGCUGAUUGCCUGACCUCUGACAGUGUUUGCUUUCCUUCCUUCCUUCCUUCCUUCCUUCCUUCCUUCCUUCCUUCCUUCCUCCCUCCCUCCCUCUCCUUCCUUCCUUUUAUUCUCAUUCUUUCUCUUUCUCCCUCCUUCCCUUACUCCCUCCCUCCCUUCCUUCCUUCCUUCCUUCCUUCCUUCCUUCCUUCCUUCCUUCCUUGCCCUAUACCUUUUUUGACAAAAGCCCAACAUCUGUGUGGUGAUGGGGCAUGGUUGGGAUAGAUUACCUAUUCUUGCUUUCACUGAGUCCCAACCACAAGCAGGCCAUGGGACUGAGGGCUUGCUCAGUGGCCAGCCCCAUCUGUAUCUCUCUCAUCUCACCCCUUCUGCAGGCUGCAAUGGUGGUUGCUUUUCUUUUUGUUUUUCACUAGUACCAAGACUGACAAUGUCUGUUACUUUUCUGCUCACUUUAGGUUUUUCCUCCCUAGGAGGCCCAGCCCUGCUUCUGGCAUUUUAAAUGCUGUUCUCCUCUUGGCUACUCCAUGUGGGUUUUCUUGAAGAAUUACUCCUCUCCUAUUCUUCUCGGUGUACCAGUGAGGGCUGUAGGAAAAGCCCUCUAUGAGGUGUUUGUGUUUUCUUAAAUUUUGAGUUCACUGGUUUCCUGUCAGCCUCAGUUCUCUGAUGGAUUCAUUAAAAAGAAAAAUUAAGGGCUGGAGAGAUGGCUCAGCGAUUAAGAGCACUGACUGCUCUUCCAGAGGUCCUGAGUUCAAUUCCCAGCAACCACGCGGUGGCUCACAACCAUCUGUAAUGAGAUCUGAUGCCCUCUUCUGGUGUGUCUGAGGACAGCUACAGUGUACUCAUAUAAAGUAAAUCUUAAAAAAAAAAGACAUAAAAAAAUUAAAACUUCUCUAACAUCUCUCCCCCUCCCUGUCCCCGUGUGUGUGUGUGUGUGUGUGUGUGUGUGUGUGUGUGUGUGUGUGUGUGUGUGUGUAUCUUCGAGUAAGGACUGAAACAAUGAUCUCUAUAGUUUUCUGUAUUCUAAGUGGGAAAAUAAUGUGGUUCUAAAGCUACUUUUUCCUAAUUUGUAAGAGUGUCUUGGUUUUCUUGUUGCUAUGAUAAAAUACCCUAACCAAUGCAACUUAAGAGAGAAAGGGUUUAUUACGGCUCUCGGUUCAAGUCCAUGUGUUGUCAGUACUGACAUCACAUGCUUGAUAACCACUGAUCCCAUUCUACCCACAGUCAGGAAGCAGGGAAGAUGAAUGCUGACUGCUGCUCAGCUGCUUUUCUCCGGUUAUGCAGUUCUUGCCUGGGAAUGGCACCGCCCAUGGUGGGCAGGUCUUCCCACCGCUGGCAUUCUGAAAGGCUCAUUCCUCAGGCGAGUCUUAGCGGCUGACAGCUAAGACUAACUAUCACAAAGAGUUUCAAGAAGUAUUUGUCAUAGUGUCAAGUGUAGACCAUCUGCAAUUAGAAUGGCAGACUUAUUAAGACGGCUGAUUCUGGAGUUAUGCUUCAGACUUGAGAAUCUGAAAAAAAUCCAAAGAGCACUCACUUUUAAAAACUCCUCUGACAGUAAUUUGUACAUUUCAAAGUUUGAAAUUUGUUGGAUCUGCAGCAAUGUCAGGACACAAAGAUGACAUCCCAAAGAAUAGCACCGUGGCGUACUGAGUUCUCUAGGGGAUUCCAAACAUCUUACAUGAGGUUGUUUAGACUUCUGCCCCUCAUCUUGUGUCAUCCAUUCCUGUAGUUCCCCCACUCCUGCAAAGGCCAAUCACAGAGAUCUAAAUUUUUUCCUCCAAAGUGGAGGAGAAACUAGAACACCUCAUCCCAAAGCAAGCCAUACUUUGGCCUCUCUGUUCUCCCAAAGGUCCCCUUGUGAUAGCGGUCCUAUUCUCUGCUGUCAGAGAGGCCAAGAGGACCCGAAGGACAGGUCAUGAUGGCUUCACCUUCCAAAUAUUAUAAUAAAGUCAAACUCAUUUCUACACGGCUGCCCACUCUUUACUGCUCUAAGUACAGGUUUGUCGUGUGUCGUGUGUGUGUGUGUGUGUGUGUGUCUGUCUGUCUGUCUGUCUGUCUGUCUGUCUGUCUGGGGAUGAACCUUAGGCCUCACACAUGCUAAGCAAAGGGUUCUCCCACUGAGCUGUAUACCAGCCCUGAGGAUUCUCAUGUCAUGUAGAACUUUUGUGUUUAAUAAUCUGUCCUGCUCUUCCACUGUUAACAUGUUCUUUGUUUGAGAAGGAGGAGUCCCUGUGCCUCUGUGACCCUUGUGAUGGGUGACUGGCCUGGUGUUAUAUACUUUCACCCCAACAGCAAUGAACAUUUGUCAACACUUGGAUAGACUAAGAAACAAAAGGAACAAUAAAAUGUUUUCCUUUCGGACUAAGCCACUACCUAAAGACUAUACAUGGACUGACCCUGGACUCUGACCUCAUAGGUAGCAAUGAAUAUCCUAGUAAGAGCACCAGUGGAAGGGGAAGCCCUGGGUCCUGCUAAGAC